This is a long non-coding RNA of Dromaius novaehollandiae (emu), 423 nucleotides long. RefSeq lists it as uncharacterized. NCBI's taxonomy places the organism in Eukaryota, Metazoa, Chordata, Aves, Casuariiformes, Dromaiidae. The record is from RefSeq and is a predicted model, not a curated record. The transcript is spliced from 3 exons.
UGGAGAAGCACCAGUUGGCAUUGCUAUCAGAACAGACCAGUUCUUUUAAAGAAGACUGAUGAAGCUAUUUUUUAAAAACACCUCAUAACAUUACAGAUGAGAAUCUGAUCUCUGCAAAGGACAGGGAUGAACAGUUGCAGGAAGGAGGAGGCAGAACAGCAUGGAAGCAGGCAGCAUGCUGAUGGUGGAGGAGAGAGCGUGCCCUACCACAGAAGGUGAAGGAGCCAGCAUGGCCUUUGACCUUCUCCCACGGACCAGCUACAGGACUGGGGCCUUACAGAAGGCAGACCUGAGACAGGACCCGAGAGGUCGGCGCGGGGAACUGGAAAUCUCAGGAAAGCAAGGCAGAGGGAGGCGGAAGGUGCUGGCCCCUCAGGGGACCUUUCCCCCUGCCGUCUCAGGCUUGGGCCGGGGGGCAGCACC